Long non-coding RNA from Bos taurus (domestic cattle), 646 nucleotides. The record is from Ensembl. NCBI's taxonomy places the organism in Eukaryota, Metazoa, Chordata, Mammalia, Artiodactyla, Bovidae.
UGGGCUGCCGUCUAUGGGGUCGCACAGAGUCGGACACGACUGAAGUGACUUAGCAGCAGCAGCAUGAGGAGAUGGAAACUUUUUAUUUUUGUCCCCAUCCCUCAGCAUGUGGGCUCUUACUUCCCCAACUAGGGAUCGAACCCCUGCCCCUUGCAAUGGCAGCUCAGUCUUAACCACUGGAACUCCAAAGAAGUCCCUGUUUUUCUUUUUAAAUGGCUCUUGAAGAAUGAUUGCACAACCAGAAAGAACAAAACCCUUUCUUUUCCUCUUCCACAAACAGUGUUCACCUUUAUCAACUCUUCCCAUAUCCAUCCGAGUUUAGCACUUAAGAGUUUAAAGCAGACAACAAAUACUACAACCUGCUCUCUUUUUAAAAAAAACAGAUGCUGAAGGAAGUAGAAAGCUAUGUCAGUCAUACAUCCCGCCAUAAAUCAGGCCCUCUGUUCAUGGACAGAACCAGCAUCGGACUUGGGAGGAAAAGGCACACACAGAAGCCUGAUGCUGUGGGAAAUCCUGCUCACACAGACAGAAAGCAAGCAAGAGUCUCCAGUGGACUUGCUAACGUGUUCUUAUAAAUCUAUAAUCCUGCCACCACUCCCCCCAAUAUAUCCACCAUGAUGUUCAUAGAUAGUAAAAUGAAUGGUUU